Molecule: long non-coding RNA, 1269 nt
Organism: Carassius carassius (crucian carp)
Lineage: Eukaryota; Metazoa; Chordata; Actinopteri; Cypriniformes; Cyprinidae
Exons: 5
Source: RefSeq, a predicted model, not a curated record
CCCUGUGAUCUCACCCCUUAUGUCUCGGUAGAGAUGCAAUCGCCCAACUUCACCGUUUGAGUGGCGUUGGAAAGGUUUUGGGAGUUUAUGGAAACUGUCAGAUGUGUUUUAUACACCAGGCACUGGAACCUAAUGAGAAAACAAGAGCUGGAGCCAGGCCAAAAAAGGAGAGCUUGCUGGUGAUUCAUUGGACCAGACCACACCAGAUCCCCCCAUCCCAAUGGGAGAUAAUAAGGCCAUUUAUAUGGGUGUCAGUGGACAGGAAGCACGACCAUAUCUAGACUCUGAAGGGCAGACAAUCAAGUCUUCAGAAGAAAAUAUUGGAAGAAACCACAUAGACUUUUAUAGUGAUGAAUGCUGUCUGGUGGGAUGCUAUCCCUUUAAACGUCUGCCGGCGGGACAGUUCGGAUCUGAUACAGGCAAGAUACAAGACGUCCUGCGAGGUCCCGGCAAUACAGAUAACUGCUGACAGACGGCAGCCAAUUUGCUGUCCCGCCACACCAGAGCAAAGCGCUAGAAAUAUGGGCAGAGGAGUGACCCUUUGGCUGUGUCGCCCAUCCAUCCGAACCUGGUGGUGGGCUGGCCACCGUGGUAAUUGCCUGCGAAACAGUGUUUUGACAAGCCAGACGGGUGUAAGCCAUCAUUCUAGCAGCACGGUGAUGAGGUGUCACCUGGAGAGAGCUGUUGAGAGCCCACAUGUUUACAUGCAGCCAGUGUGGUUCCACUGAGACAGCAGUAAUCCAUUAAGAAGGGGGCUGAUCCUGCGAGGGGUUUGAUGAAGUUGAAGCUCCUCUGCCCCAUGCAGAAGGGCGUUUAGCGCUGCCGGCCCCACUGCUAGUGUGCAGGGAUAUAUCACCUGCGUACUCACUGUUUCAUCAUAGCUUUCUGUUUCUCUACUCUCCAAACAGUCUUCAGUGCUUUAGACUGGAUGUCCAAUUGAAAGGAAAACUCACCUUUUGUCCACUCAAAAUAUAAAAGAAAGGAAUCUUUUAUAUGUUUCAAAAAGCUUAACUGAUGUUUCUAGCCGGGUUUCCUCUGUUUUUAAAAAGGUCUUAGUUUGUCCUAAAAAGGACUUAAAUCGGAGCAGAAGGUCUUAAAAUUAUGGCAUGAAAUGUUGGAUGUACUGCAAAAAACUUUCUCUGUGGUUUUGUUUUGUUUCCCAAUACAAAUAUCGAAAAAUAUUAAAAUAAGAUAGAUUUAGGCCUACUUGAGAUACAAAAUGUACAUAUGAAGUUUUGUUUUCUGAGAAACUGAACAAUAAUCAAUAAA